UACGUAGGGGGCAAGCGUUAUCCGGAAUUACUGGGCGUAAAGCGCACGCAGGCGGUUCGCCCAGUUUGGGGUGACAGUUGUCGGCUCAACCGACAAAGGACUUCAAAAACUGGUGAACUUGAGGACGAGAGAGGAACAUGGAGCUCCAGGUGUAGUAGUGAAAUGCGUAGAUAUCUGGAAGAACACCAAUGGCGAAGGCAAUGUUCUGGCUCGUUUCUGACGCUCAGGUGCGAAAGCCAGGGGAGCGAACGGG
RNAcentral lists this ribosomal RNA (253 nucleotides) under uncultured bacterium. RNAcentral describes it as "partial 16S ribosomal RNA". It matches the Rfam family "Bacterial small subunit ribosomal RNA", at positions 524 to 776 of the family's 1533-position model. The record is from RNAcentral.